AGAGUUUGAUUAUGGCUCAGGAUGAACGCUGGCGGCGUGCCUAACACAUGCAAGUCGAACGGAGUUAAAGCGGAGCUUGCUUUGCUUUAACUUAGUGGCGGACGGGCGAGUAACGCGUGGGUAACCUGCCUCAUACAGGGGGAUAGCAGUUGGAAACGACUGAUAAUACCGCAUAAGCGCACAGCUCCGCAUGGAGCAGUGUGAAAAACUCCGGUGGUAUAGGAUGGUCCCGCGUCUGAUUAGCUAGUUGGUGAGGUAACGGCCCACCAAGGCGACGAUCAGUAGCCGGCCUGAGAGGGUGUACGGCCACAUUGGGACUGAGACACGGCCCAAACUCCUACGGGAGGCAGCAGUGGGGAAUAUUGGACAAUGGGGGAAACCCUGAUCCAGCGAACCGCCGCGUGAACGAAGAAGUAUCUCGGUAUGUAAAGUUCUAUCAGCAGGGAAGAUAAUGACGGUACCUGACUAAGAAGCACCGGCUAAAUACGUGCCAGCAGCUGC
RNAcentral lists this ribosomal RNA (501 nucleotides) under uncultured bacterium. RNAcentral's name for it is "bacterial SSU rRNA". It matches the Rfam family "Bacterial small subunit ribosomal RNA", at positions 8 to 518 of the family's 1533-position model. The record is from RNAcentral.